CCCUUAGAUGUCCGGGGCUGCACGCGCGCUACACUGAAGGAACCAGCGUGCUAAAACCAUUGUCGAAAGGCAUUGGUAAACCCAUUAAAAUCCUACGUGAUUGGGAUCGGGAAUUGCAAUUAUUUCCCUUGAACGAGGAAUUCCCAGUAAGUGUGGGUCAUAAGCUCGCGUUGAUUACGUCCCUGCCCUUUGUACACACCGCCCGUCGCUGCCCGGGACUGAGCCGUUUCGAGAAAAGCGGGGACUGCUGCUGUCGGGGCUUUCGGGCCUUGGCUUCGGUGGAAACCGCUUUAAUCGCAGUGGCUUGAACCGGGCAAAAGUCGUAACA
This 328-nucleotide ribosomal RNA is filed under the name uncultured eukaryote. RNAcentral's name for it is "partial 18S ribosomal RNA". It matches the Rfam family "Eukaryotic small subunit ribosomal RNA", at positions 1470 to 1796 of the family's 1831-position model. The record is from RNAcentral.